Molecule: ribosomal RNA, 253 nt
Filed under: uncultured bacterium
Lineage: Bacteria
Description: partial 16S ribosomal RNA
Rfam family: Bacterial small subunit ribosomal RNA
Source: RNAcentral
UACAGAGGUCCCAAGCGUUGUUCGGAUUCACUGGGCGUAAAGGGUGCGUAGGCGGGCAGGUAAGUCCGUGGUGAAAUCUCUGAGCUUAACUCAGAAACUGCCAUGGAUACUAUUUGUCUUGAAUAUUGUGGAGGUCAGCGGAAUAUGUCAUGUAGCGGUGAAAUGCUUAGAUAUGACAUAGAACACCAAUUGCGAAGGCAGCUGGCUACACAGUUAUUGACGCUGAGGCACGAAAGCGUGGGGAUCAAACAGG